CCGACACAUCGCCAACCUCCCAGAUGCCGACAUCGCCGGGCCUCAUCGCCUCCCUACCUGCUCCCCUCGCCGGACCUCCCCGCUGCCACCACGCAGAACCGGCGCGCUCCCCGUUGGCUUUUCAACACCUCCACGAGCAGGCGACCCACGCGCACACCACUCUCCGCUGCACCAGGUGCUUGUGUUAUUGCCUCAAAGAUUGUGGUGUUAAUCUUUUAGGAUCACUAACUUUCUGGAUUAAUUUGUUCUGUCAAGUGAGGAAGUGAUGGUGCACGAGGACGAGCUUCCUGGACAAGAAGAUCUCCGUACGCUUCUCGAUGGUGCAAAAUUGAGGUGUUCUCAGUGACCUGUUCUGGCUACUGAUGGACAUUAUCUAACACAUGUCUUUGAACUGAAAAAUAAUAUAGUUGUUAAAUGUUUAUUCAGUUCAGAGAUGCAAAUAUAAUACAGUACCAGUUUGGAUUUUUUUUCUAUUUAAGGUCUUUAUGUAAAAUUUUCUUCAUACUAUGCUUGAAACAGUACUGGUUUCAGUAGAUAUUUUUUAGCUAUUAAUGAUAAUUAGGUCCAACUUUUUCUUUCAUUUGGAGCAAGUUCACUUUCGCCUUAUUAUUGCUCUACAUACUGAUACAAAUCUAGGAGAUUGCUCUUUUCUAGACACCUGCCGCCACACUAAGUACUAUCUCACUUUUCCUUUUUUUACUUUUUAGUGACAAUGAACACGAGCGCAUAUGCUUUGUUGAGUGGUGUUCAUUUACUUGCUUGAUCCAUAGGAACUGGAGUUCUAGAAGAAAAACUACUGAGCUUUAUUUCUUCUGUAACCAUUGCAAAGAGGUGAACUACAUUUUGGGCAUAUGUUCAUGUACUAUUCAGGCUCAGAAUCAUUUUUAACAGUUUUUUUGGACAUUCUUCCUCACGGACCUGCCUGUUAUAGUAUUAUUUUUUAUGAGAACAAUACAACUUUUGAACUCAGCCUAUAAUCAUCGACCUCUGCUUACUGUAAGUUCAAGCUCUGCUCUGGAAUUGCUUUGAUUGACUAUCAAUUAGCAUGCACCUCUGACAUGUAUUGGCAAAUGCAGCCGUGAUGGCGGGCCGUUCCAAGAAAACAUUUAUGGAUGAAUAGAUGGUUGCUUUCAUAUGCCAAAACUUGUUGAAUUCUUCUGUUCUUUGGAUCGAUCUGUGGAUGCUACAUAUCGUAGGCUGGUGGGUUCCCUUGCUCAGAUCGAGUAGUUGAGGCCACAGAAGUUGAAGGCGAAGGUGAAGAAAGCGUUGUCUUGAUCGGGUGACGAGGUGUCACAGGAGGCCGCUGUGCGUGGCGAUGGCCUCACGGAGGCACACCGGUGGUGGAGGGCUUCUUAUCUCUUAAUUAGGUCGUCACAGAUGUGCGUGAACAAUGACCCUGCAAGCAAUGGCAUGUCUCUGUGUAAGCCAUGAAGCUCCUAAGUUUCCAUGAUCCAGACUGGUGCCAUUCUUCCGAGAACACAAUUGACAUGUCGUGCGGAGUAGGAGAUUUUUCACUGGUUAUUAUACAUGCGUGAGACCUCAGAAGUUACAGGGGAAUGAGUGACGCCACAUUCAAGAUCAGAAUUAGUUUUUUUAGGGAAUGAUAAGAAAGUUAGUGAGAAUGAGGUAACAUGCAUUUCUUAGAUUUGUUCAGAAUGACGGGGCUGCGGUUUUGGGAGCUUGGAUGUAUGGAUCCGAUUGUAAAACUAUCUACUCCUACCAAUAGAUAUGACAUUGCUCAUGUCAACUUUUCAAAAAUAAUAUGCUUGUUUGCGAUGGAAUAUGAGUGUACUUUCUUUAA
This is a non-coding RNA of Triticum urartu, 1801 nucleotides long. NCBI's taxonomy places the organism in Eukaryota, Viridiplantae, Streptophyta, Magnoliopsida, Poales, Poaceae. The record is from RefSeq and is a predicted model, not a curated record.